RNAcentral lists this ribosomal RNA (449 nucleotides) under uncultured bacterium. RNAcentral describes it as "partial 16S ribosomal RNA". It matches the Rfam family "Bacterial small subunit ribosomal RNA", at positions 29 to 523 of the family's 1533-position model. The record is from RNAcentral.
AAUGAACGCUGGCGGCAGGCCUAACACUUGCAAGUCGAACGGAUCCUUCGGGAUUAGUGGCGGACGGGUGAGUAACGCGUGGGAACAUACCCAAAGGUACGGAAUAGCCUCGGGAAACUGGGAGUAAUACCGUAUGUGCUCGAAAGAGGAAAGAUUUAUCGCCAAAGGAUUGGCCCGCGUUGGAUUAGGUAGUUGGUGGGGUAAUGGCCUACCAAGCCGACGAUCCAUAGCUGGUUUGAGAGGAUGAUCAGCCACACUGGGACUGAGACACGGCCCAGACUCCUACGGGAGGCAGCAGUGGGGAAUCUUAGACAAUGGGGGAAACCCUGAUCUAGCCAUGCCGCGUGAUCGAUGAAGGCCUUAGGGUUGUAAAGAUCUUUCAGGUGGGAAGAUAAUGACUGUACCACCAGAAGAAGCCCCGGCUAACUCCGUGCCAGCCGCCGCAGUAA